UACGUAGGGGGCGAGCGUUGUCCGGAAUCAUUGGGCGUAAAGAGCGUGUAGGCGGGCCGGAAGGUCUGGUGUGAAAGCCCGGGGCUCAACCCCGGAGGGUCACUGGAAACCAACGGCCUUGAGUCUGGAAGAGGAGAGUGGAAUUCCUGGUGUAGCGGUGGAAUGCGCAGAUAUCAGGAGGAACACCAAUGGCGAAGGCAGCUCUCUGGUACAUGACUGACGCUGAGACGCGAAAGCGUGGGGAGCGAACAGG
This 253-nucleotide ribosomal RNA is filed under the name uncultured bacterium. RNAcentral describes it as "partial 16S ribosomal RNA". It matches the Rfam family "Bacterial small subunit ribosomal RNA", at positions 524 to 776 of the family's 1533-position model. The record is from RNAcentral.